CCUACGGGAGGCAGCAGUGGGGAAUAUUGCACAAUGGGCGAAAGCCUGAUGCAGCGACGCCGCGUGAGGGAUGACGGCCUUCGGGUUGUAAACCUCUUUUCAGCAGGGAAGAAGCGAAAGUGACGGUACCUGCAGAAGAAGCGCCGGCUAACUACGUGCCAGCAGCCGCGGUAAUACGUAGGGCGCAAGCGUUGUCCGGAAUUAUUGGGCGUAAAGAGCUCGUAGGCGGCUUGUCACGUCGGAUGUGAAAGCCCGAGGCUUAACCUCGGGUCUGCAUUCGAUACGGGCUAGCUAGAGUGUGGUAGGGGAGAUCGGAAUUCCUGGUGUAGCGGUGAAAUGCGCAGAUAUCAGGAGGAACACCGGUGGCGAAGGCGGAUCUCUGGGCCAUUACUGACGCUGAGGAGCGAAAGCGUGGGGAGCGAACAGGAUUAGAUACCCUGGUAGUCCACGCCGUAAACGUUGGGAACUAGGGUGUUGGCGACAUUCCACGUCGUCGGUGCCGCAGCUAACGCAUUAAGUUCCCCGCCUGGGGAUACGGCGCAAGGCAAAACUCAAAGGAAUUGACGGCUGGAGACGNGCCGACGGACGACGACGAGGGAGAGG
This 603-nucleotide ribosomal RNA is filed under the name uncultured bacterium. RNAcentral describes it as "bacterial SSU rRNA". It matches the Rfam family "Bacterial small subunit ribosomal RNA", at positions 338 to 956 of the family's 1533-position model. The record is from RNAcentral.